AUUAAACAAAGGAUGUGAGAUCGGAAAGAGGCGCCAAGAGCACCUCGGGAUCAUACAAAGCUGAGAGCUUAGAGUUCAACUCAUCAGAAGCUGAGCUCAGAGGUCAGAUUAGUCCAGCUCGGACAGCAUGACUUGAGAGCUCGGCCAGCUAAAGGAAACUCAGAGCUCAUUUCACUAAGCAAAGACAGAACUCUCGGGUCGGUUAGCCCAGCUCGGACAACAUGACCUGAGAGCCCGGCCGGAUGAAGGAGACUCAAAGCUCAAUUCAUCGAAGUAAAGACCGAGCUCACAGGUCGGUCAGACAGUCCAGUUCGGAAACUUGAAAGCCCAGUUGGCUAAGUGGAUCCGGAGUUCAACUCAUCAGAGCUCGCAGAUAUGGUUAGAUCAGCUCGGAAAAAAGCAGGACAGAGCUCAGUUGGUUAAAAUUAUAAGGCGAGCAAUCUAAAGUAUUUCACACAUGAUAAAGGAAGAACAGCUUGAGCAUGAGAGCAGAACAAGAACUUCAUUAAAAGAAAAGUACAUUACAGCACGUUACAAAGGCCUAC
This 545-nucleotide long non-coding RNA is filed under the name Manihot esculenta (cassava). RNAcentral's name for it is "long non-coding RNA (MESC_LNC002540)". The record is from RNAcentral. Lineage: Eukaryota; Viridiplantae; Streptophyta; Magnoliopsida; Malpighiales; Euphorbiaceae.